GCAAGUCAAAGGGAGACGGGCCAGACAAAAAAAACUGAAAGUAUUUAAAGAGAAAGUAGUUCAGUCACCCAUUUGGGCAGCGCAUGUGUCUUACAGAUCCAUUUUUAUUAUUCUUUGAGCUGCCUUUUAAAGGGAAGAAAUGGAGUUUGAAAUAUUGGGAAUAAAUUUGAGUUGUGUGGUGAGUGCUAUAAGUAACGGCGAGUUUCCGCAGAAAGACUGCGCGCUGGAUGUGUUGUCUAAGGCAUUAGGCUAUUGUAUUGUCGCUGCUUCAAUCAUUGUUAAAGUUCCCCAGAUCUAUAUAAUUUGGAAGAACAAGAGCAUUAAGGGUUUGAGUGUGGCAUCUUUUGAACUUGAAGUUGUUGGGUUUACCAUUGCCUUGGCAUAUUGCCUGCAUAAUGAUCUGCCGUUCUCAGCUUACGGAGAGUUACUUUUCCUUCUCUUGCAAGCACUUAUACUGAUAGCUCUUAUUUAUUAUUACUCAUCUCCUCUGGGGGCACGGACUCUGCUGAAAUCAACCAUAUAUUGUGCUGUUGCCCCUACCAUUCUUGCUGGCCGGAUCAACCCAGUUCUAUUUGAAGCCUUAUAUGCUUCGCAACAUGCAAUUUUCCUCUUUGCAAGGAUCCCACAAAUUUGGAAAAACUAUUGUAACAAGAGCACCGGUGAACUAAGUUUCCUUACAAGUUUCAUGAAUGCUGCUGGUUGUAUUGUGAGACUGUUUACAAGCAUCCAGGAGAAAGCUCCAACUAGCAUGAUUGCUGGCAGUGUACUUGGUAUCUUUAUGAACGGAAUAUUAGUUUCACAGAUACUUGCCUACCGGCAACCAAGUGCUAAGAAGGACAAGAAGAUAGAAUGAUACCAUUAACCAUGGUGCAUUUCACAGAUGUUAGUGGUGUAGAUGCUGGACUGCAAUUUAUCAUCAGGGUAAACUACACGCGGUUGGAAUUUCUUAGCUUUGCAUUUGCCCCUCUCCAUUAUGGUACUUAACAGGCAUUAUGUAUUUUUAUUCAAUUGUCUUGAUGCCUUCUCAUUGGCAGAUUUGUCACAUCUAUUUUUCAAAUCAUUAAUUUUAACAGAAGACGAACAGGGUAUUAGGUUCACCAUUGUCAGAAUUACUUUUCAACUUCUAAUCUUAAAGGAAAACAACAUAUGGAGAAAUAUGUGCACCAGAGGUUCCAUCUUAGCAUUUAGCAAAAAUAAAAUCUUGUUAGUAGGUUAUAGGUAAAUGGUCAAUAAUUUUAAUUGAGAACAGCAUGUGCCAAACUAUAACUUUGAUUCCCUUUUGACAUUUAUCUGGAUGAAACUAGAUAUUCGGUCGUUGCCAAAUA
Molecule: RNA transcript, 1325 nt
Organism: Cryptomeria japonica (Japanese cedar)
Lineage: Eukaryota; Viridiplantae; Streptophyta; Pinopsida; Cupressales; Cupressaceae
Gene name: mannose-P-dolichol utilization defect 1 protein homolog 2
Exons: 10
Source: RefSeq, a predicted model, not a curated record